GGUUCAUUAGCUCAACAGGCAGAGCGGCGGUCUUGUAAACCGCUGGCGGGGGUUCGAGUCCUCCAUGAACCU
This 72-nucleotide transfer RNA is filed under the name Brevibacterium sp. H602. RNAcentral's name for it is "tRNA-Thr". It matches the Rfam family "tRNA". Rfam says of the family: Transfer RNA (tRNA) molecules are approximately 80 nucleotides in length. The record is from RNAcentral. Lineage: Bacteria; Bacillati; Actinomycetota; Actinomycetes; Micrococcales; Brevibacteriaceae.